AAGUUUGAUGGCGACCGGCGCACGGGUGAGUAACACGUAUCCAACCUGCCGAUGACUCGGGGAUAGCCUUUCGAAAGAAAGAUUAAUACCCGAUGGCAUAGUUCUUCCGCAUGGUAGAACUAUUAAAGAAUUUCGGUCAUCGAUGGGGAUGCGUUCCAUUAGUUUGUUGGCGGGGUAACGGCCCACCAAGACUACGAUGGAUAGGGGUUCUGAGAGGAAGGUCCCCACAUUGGAACUGAGACACGGUCCAAACUCCUACGGGAGGCAGCAUG
RNAcentral lists this ribosomal RNA (272 nucleotides) under uncultured bacterium. Its description in RNAcentral is "partial 16S ribosomal RNA". It matches the Rfam family "Bacterial small subunit ribosomal RNA", at positions 81 to 353 of the family's 1533-position model. The record is from RNAcentral.